This is a long non-coding RNA of Scylla paramamosain (green mud crab), 1350 nucleotides long. RefSeq lists it as uncharacterized. The record is from RefSeq and is a predicted model, not a curated record. The transcript is spliced from 3 exons. Lineage: Eukaryota; Metazoa; Arthropoda; Malacostraca; Decapoda; Portunidae.
UGAUAGCGGAGGAGCAGCCAGACAGACCCAGUAGGACAGCACCGCGUGAAGGGAACAGUACAUUGCAAUAUUCUUUGCAACACCCAGCCAAUCAUCCCACCUCUCGCCCUGCCGCCCCCAUUCAGGAGUGACCGCUGCUCUUACCCUAAACCCAAGUGUGCCUGGUUAGAGCUACAGAUUCCAAGCCUUUCCGUGCGCUAGUGACGGCACUGUUCCCAGCACUCUCCAUAGCAGUGACCAGGACGCCGCCGCUGAGAACACCCUGUAAAAGCAGUUUCUUCAGCGCCUCCCGCUAAGACACAACACAUGCAGUUUUAGUGUAACGCAUGACGAAAAGUGGUGCUGCUCGAGUGAAGGAUUUCCAGUUGGACGCGUGGUUUUUAAGUGCCUGUCAAAUGAGAAGGCCAAGGGUGUGUUCAAGACGUAAAGUUAUGGGAGCCACUAAGAUCUCCGCCAUCCAGAGCGAUGCCAACACUAUCAAAGGCCUGGAGUGACGGUACUGUGGCUCGAGUCAGAGAUAUACGGUUGACAGACUACGUUCAUUGUGCGGGUGAAAUACGGUAAUGACGAACCUCGCUCAGAGUCAUAAAUCCGACCCAAGCAACGAGCAGCGCGGCGGGGCCAUCCAUCACGCCAGCCGCCCAGAGCCCCGCCACCACGCAGCGCCACCGAGACACACCCCGCUCUGGCACCCCGACACCCGUGCACCCCGCCACGCCAGGGAAAUACUUGGGUAUCCUACGCUUCUCACCUCCCAGCUCAUUGCUUUCCUUCAUAUUAGUGUACAUAUAUUUUUUUUCAUUUUUCUUCUUUCCCUUUUUAUCUUAUUUUUAAGGUUUACAGUUUUUAUUUUUGUUUUUUUUACUUUUAUUUUUUAUGUAUUUUCUUUUAUUUGCAGUCAUUGUUCAUUUCCUCCUUUUCGUUUUUUUCUGUAGUUUUUUUUUUUUUGUAGCAAGAUUAUAACUUUCUGUACAUUUUUUUAUAUUUCUAUGCGAUUUGAUAACUGUCUCAUUAUGCAGUUGGAAAGCGCAUAGCCAAAUAACCAAUAAUAAUAAUAAUAAUAAUAAUAAUAAUCCUUCACCCAUCCUACCCUAUUCCACCACUGCCUCUCACCAUCCCUUCACAAUCCAGCGUUCUUUCCAUCCUCCAUAUCCUUCACCCCAUCCUGCUCUCCUGUUCCAUCACUGCCUCUCACGUCCCUUCCCAAUGCAGUGUUCACAUCCCCCACAUCUUUCACUUACUCCUCUACUCUCCACCACUCCUACUCUGGGAUCUACAACACCUCUCAUCUCCCUUCCCAACAAGUCCCUUUUCCUUCCACUCCCUGCCCCACCUUACGCAUCCCUCCAU